GAGAGGUUGAAUCUUGGCCCAAAUUAGACCCUUUGCGGGUGUCCUGGUAAGAGUUUGCCAUUUUGAAUGGAAGUCUGUCGGCGAGGGUGACAGGUGACUUAUUAACCCUGGCUAACAUGUUAGCUAGAGAAAACGCUGGAUCUCCACUUUUCCUUUAACCUUGCAGAAAAGAGUUCGUUUACUUUUGCUCCUCUCCUCCCCUCAUUAUUUGAUAGUUCUUUAAAGAGUUGCAAGUUUUACUUUGGCUGCUUUUGAUCAGAAGGAAACGGCAGUGCUGGAGCCGAAGCGCUGCAGUGUCUCUGGCUUUGAACUCACCAGGUCUAAAAGCCUGCAAGAAUAUUUUCCCUUUCAGCUUUCUAGCCUGGCUCAUACAACUUCCUGAUAAAGGGAUAUGUUAAAUUGUCCUUAAGGACGACUAGAAAGUGCCUGGUUUGUCCUUCGGAUCUCGUCUACUCUUCAGUUCUAUCGGCCAGUUUUUCAUGACUCCUAGUUCUGGCUCACUCCAGAUUUCUGCCCAUGGCUCAGCCCUGCCCAGCUGGUAGUUUUGGAAUUACUGAUUUAUUGGAAACAAGAGCAAGAAUGAAUUGGGGUAGCAAAAGAUACCCAAACAAGGAAAACAGAGCUUAGUAAUUGUACAGAGAAGAAAAGAAAAAUAGCAGCUGGACGAAUGUAGCUACCAAACAUAAGUCUGUCAUAAGUCUGCCUCUGGCCACAUCCACCACUAGUAUGUGACCCACAAGGUAACGCAGCCCCUGAAUUGAAAAAGGGUUCCCUAUCCCAGAGUAUAGAGAGUGGAGGCAGAUUCCUGCCUCUGUGAGCAAACCCAGGCGAAGACUUAUAUAGAAAAGAGCAAGAGAGGGUGGCACCACUCCCCUAGGUGUGCGAAUCAUGACAGCUUGUUGUUAUAAAUGUGCCUCCGUAUGGUGGAACGCAGAGACAGCCACCUACGUCUCUUCCCCUGACAUGUAACACAACAUCAAACUGUCAUUGUGAGUUAACUAAGCAAACUGGGACCAGGUCCCCUCCUCCCCCAAAGCCACUUCAGAUGAAAAACGAGCCAUUUUUAAAAGUAGGAUUCACGUUCGAGCCUUCAACCUUUCAUAGCCGCAGUCGGCCGCCGAACCGGUGACAUGCUAGUAAUUGCAAUAGUUCAAAUAGCUAAGCCCACGUUUCCGAAGGUGUUCAAAAGCAGCAUGAAUAAAGAGCCUGUCGUUUUGGCAUAGGUGGCACAUUAAUGGAGGGAGGGGAAAUCAAUGCAAACAAUCAGCUUUAAACUUGCAAAAGCAGCAGCUUCCAUAAAUGGUCAUUAACAAGAAUUUCACCUUUAAGAUGUGAAAAAAAAGCAGUUAGCCUACUAACUUGCAGACCAUUUUUUUCUCUCCCUUUCCUCCCACCUCCUGCUCAUUAAUGUUCACACUUGCAAUCAUCUCUAAAGUAAUCUAUGUAUCCUAGUGUAGCCUCACAUUCUAGAGUUCUGGAUCAGACUCCAUGGUUCCUUGGGUGUGGGCAGGGAGGCAGCUGCCCCCCUAAAGUAAGUAAAUAAAAAAUAAUUAACUGAUCAGUUGCGUCACAGAUCUCAGUUCUGCCCUCCCUAACAUAAAGCCUGCACCCAUUAAAAUAAAUCUUGGUUACAACCAUGCAAGGUUCUACGUUGCCCACUAUCCAGAGGACAGCCAGACAUUUCUGGAAAGCCCC
Molecule: non-coding RNA, 1695 nt
Organism: Podarcis muralis (Common wall lizard)
Lineage: Eukaryota; Metazoa; Chordata; Lepidosauria; Squamata; Lacertidae
Source: RefSeq, a predicted model, not a curated record